This 262-nucleotide long non-coding RNA is filed under the name Mustela putorius furo (domestic ferret). Its description in RNAcentral is "lncRNA (ENSMPUG00000030428.1)". Lineage: Eukaryota; Metazoa; Chordata; Mammalia; Carnivora; Mustelidae. The record is from RNAcentral.
UCCUGUGGGACCAAUAGCCAUCCACAUCACCUAUACCAUCCAGAGCCAGGGUAAUAUCGUCAAGAUGGGGCUUUACAAAAUCCUACACUCAGGCAACUCUGAAGCCUUGGCAGCAUUUCUUCCAUAGUUGGGGGCCUGAAGUUGACCAAAAGAAUCAAAAUCAGCCAAAGCCUGUGGACUCCACACUUGGUGAGAUAAUUCAAAAGGGGAAGGGAAUCUGGGCUGGGACGGUUUCUUUCAGGGAACCCUGGCAGCUUUGAGG